This 522-nucleotide long non-coding RNA is filed under the name Ananas comosus (pineapple). RNAcentral describes it as "long non-coding RNA (ACOM_LNC040237)". Lineage: Eukaryota; Viridiplantae; Streptophyta; Magnoliopsida; Poales; Bromeliaceae. The record is from RNAcentral.
CCAAAAGCGAUAAAUGCAACGGAUAAGUAAAAAUGAAUACCAUAUAACCAUGAUGUCUCUACUUAGCAUAAUUUGCAAAGUAAUAAAACAACUACUACAGGUGUGUACAUGCGAGUGACCAAAUGUAAUGCAUGAGUAUGCAACCAUCUCAAUGUCCACAAUAUGAAUAGCUAUAAUGUCAAUGCCCACUAUUCUAGUCAAUAUCAACUUGUCACUUUAACUGUUUAAAGCUCAGCUCUGAUGAGACCCACCCGAAGGCUGUCUGGCAUAAGACUCACCCGUAGGCUGUCUGGCUCAACUGUGCCUAAUGGCCCCGUGGUAGUCAACAUCCCCACCCUAGGAAUGAGCCUUUCCCAUGGCAAUCCACUUCGGCGCCCAAUCCCGCACGGCGAACGUAUCGCAAUGGCCAACUCCGGAGUGCCGGCUUGUAGGGAGCGACCCUCACAAGCAUGUGCGAAUGAGCACAAUGGCAAGCAUGCGUAUCAGUAUGUCUCAAGUAUCAAAUCCUCAUGUCUAAAACAU